Crucibulum laeve is the source of this 86-nucleotide non-coding RNA. Lineage: Eukaryota; Fungi; Basidiomycota; Agaricomycetes; Agaricales; Nidulariaceae. The record is from the annotation of a GenBank genome assembly.
GGGACCAUAGCUCAGCUGGGAGAGCAGUAGACUGAAGUAUAUCUUACGCAUUCUAAAGGUCCCGCGUUCGAUCCGCGGUGGUCCCA